This 121-nucleotide small nucleolar RNA is filed under the name Echinops telfairi (small Madagascar hedgehog). Its description in RNAcentral is "Small nucleolar RNA SNORA61 (ENSETEG00000024917.1)". Lineage: Eukaryota; Metazoa; Chordata; Mammalia; Afrosoricida; Tenrecidae. The record is from RNAcentral.
ACCCCCUGGAUUUCUUACUUGUCAAACCCAAGCAUUGGUCUGAGUGGCUCUAAAAGGAGGGAAAGUAAAAGUGAAACUGACUCAGAUUCUUUAGCGAUACACAAGUCCGUUUCCAACAGAA